Molecule: long non-coding RNA, 668 nt
Filed under: Nicotiana benthamiana
Lineage: Eukaryota; Viridiplantae; Streptophyta; Magnoliopsida; Solanales; Solanaceae
Description: long non-coding RNA (NBEN_LNC042146)
Source: RNAcentral
AAAAUCACCUUCCAAACCCCUUAAAAGGAAGAUAACAUCAGAUCCCUCCUUUCAAAAGAGAGUAGUACCGAUUACCCCCAAAAAAGACCCCUAAGCAGCGCCUGCCUUUCCCCAGAGAUUCAUCCAUCUCUUUCUCUAGAUAACACACACCCCAAAGAGAGAACAAAAGAAGAAUGGCAAAAAUAGUAAUAUGUAGUAGAGGGAACAGAACAAUAGAGAGGAAACCAUAACAAGAUGAGGAUUUUUUUUCUUUUUGAUUUUGAGUUCUUAGAAAAGAAAGAAUAACACAAAAAGUAUUUAUAAUCCCUCUUUCCAACUUCGAUUUUGAUUCUUAAUUGCGGAGUUUGAUUGAAUCAAGAUUGUCACGGUUCGAAGUCGCCGUUUGAGGUGUCCAUUUCCAUUCUUUGUUCCUGUUGAAGCUCAAAUUGCAGCAGCUGUUUUCUUCCUCUCGAGUUUGUUCUUAUGUUUUCUUGUGCUUGUAUUCACUUUCAGCAUUAAUCCAAAGUUUUAUGCAUCCAGGUUAAUCUCUUUACUCCUCCUUAUUUAAUUAACAGAAGAUGUUUGCGGGCUAGUUUAUAUACUAGUAUGUGAUGCAAUUUUCUUGUGAAAUCAGUGUUCGACUUAAACUCGUCUAGUUGUGAGGUUGUUAGACUAAUCUCAAAUUGGUG